CGGCGACCGGCGAAUGGGUGAGUAACACGUAUGCAACUUACCUCUUAGUGGUGAAUAACUCGAUGAAAGUCGGACUAAUACACCAUACUCUCCUUAGCUCACAUGAGCAGAGGAGGAAAGAUUAAUCGCUAAGAGAUAGGCCUGCGUUCCAUUAGCUAGUUGGUAAGGUGACGGCUUACCAAGGCAACGAUGGAUAGGGGGACUGAGAGGUUGACCCCCCACAUUGGUACUGAGACACGGACCAAACUCC
RNAcentral lists this ribosomal RNA (250 nucleotides) under uncultured Porphyromonas sp. RNAcentral describes it as "partial 16S ribosomal RNA". It matches the Rfam family "Bacterial small subunit ribosomal RNA", at positions 89 to 339 of the family's 1533-position model. Lineage: Bacteria; Pseudomonadati; Bacteroidota; Bacteroidia; Bacteroidales; Porphyromonadaceae. The record is from RNAcentral.